Long non-coding RNA from Solanum tuberosum (potato), 2280 nucleotides. RefSeq lists it as uncharacterized. NCBI's taxonomy places the organism in Eukaryota, Viridiplantae, Streptophyta, Magnoliopsida, Solanales, Solanaceae. The record is from RefSeq and is a predicted model, not a curated record. The transcript is spliced from 2 exons.
CAAAGGGCGGGUCACAGACGGAUUUCUCGGUUAUCAAAAUAAAAUAAAAAUAUACCUUGUGUUUAGGACACCUAAUGGGUAGGAACUAAGACUAGGGAUAUAGGUGGGUUCAAGUUAAGGUAAUCAGGAAGUUUGAGUAGGAAUGGAGUAGGUAUUAUAGUCUAUGUUGCUCAGAUUUUUCAAAAAUGUCAAGUUGUGCAUGUCGGAUACUCCAAAAGUAGUGCAUUUUGGAGAAUUCGACACGGGUGCGGCAACAAUUUCAGAGAGUCCAAGCAACAUAGAUUUUAGAGGAAGAUCCUAAUGUAUCCUAUAAAUGAAGUCACCAACGUGAACUGGCUAGCUGCUAUACAUGAUGGAGAAUUUGGCAGUCUGCCAUCAAUUUACUUGGGACUACCUCUGGGGGCUAAAUCUAAAUCUAUACAAAUAUGGGAUAGAGUGAUAAAGAAGUGUGAAAAAAAGCUAGCCAGGUGGAAAACUCAAUACCUCUCCUUAGAGGAAGACCGACUCUCAUUAAUUCAGUCCUUGAUACUUUACCAACUUAUAUGAUGCGUUUAUUUCCCAUCCCACCAGGGGUUAUCAAAAGGUUGGACAACAUUAAGAGAGAGUUUUUGUUGCUGGGAAACAAAGAAAAGAAAGGGUACCACCUGGUAAAAUAGAAAUCUGUGAUGACUGCUAAGAAGAAUGGGGGCUUGGGAUAAAGAAUCUGGAAUUUCAAAGCAAAGCUCUUAGAAUGGAGUGGUUAUGGAGAUAUGCCAAUGACAGACAGUUGUUGUGGAGCAGGGUCAUUGGUGCCAAAUAUGAAGCGGGAGACAGCAGGGUCCAAAAUGUGCAUCUAUGCCAGGGAUUGGGGACCAAAUCUACAAUUUAUCCAAGAUGACCUCGGUUCCUGUUAGACUAAGGGGAGCUGUUUUGAAAAUCAAUUAACAUUUGGCUCGAGAGGUGAGAAAAUUCAAGUUCGCUAUGUUUUAUGUUUAACAGAUCGGCAAUUUAGGGAAAUUUGGUUAUUUAGUGUUUCAGGCAUGUGAUUCUUCAAUGUUUAUUUGCUUAACAUCAGGCACAUAAAUUCUAAAUAUCACUGAAUCAAUUAUCCUGUAAAGCAAGAGAUUAUUGAUAAACAUAAAAGGCGGGAUAUAGGUGGUUAAUAGAACUUACGCUUGAUGCUACAAUGGCAACAUGGCCCUUGUUUACCCAUAAAAUCUGGUUCUGAAUGAUUCCUGUUCAAAUCAGGUUGAAGCUACUGUUGCUAACGUUAGAGUUGGAUUUGCUUUCAAAAUCUAAAAAUGUCUGACUGAGGCGACGGAUAAAAUAUAUAGACAGAUAAGAAAUCAGUAGACUACAGCUGGUCAUUUAUUUAUGGAAAUAGAUUAAUCAUGAUACGGGGUCAUUAACUUUGAUCUAUUCUGUUUUCCCUUUUGUGACAGCUCAUCAAUUUUGAUUACUGUAAUUUCUCAACUAUUGACAAUAGAACUCCAAUGAGAGAAAUCUUAGAUUCUCUAUAAAAAAAAAUGGGAGUGGGGAUUUGGGGUUGGAGUGGAUGGGUGAAUGCUGGAUUUGGUGAAUCUUCACAAUUUUAGGCCUUUAGUUUAGUGGUCAAGGCUUGUUAAGCAACGAAUCUUAAGACAAGGGAGUAUUAAAUAUUUUCUAUAUGAUAAUUGAAAUAUCUAAGAGUGAGCAAAUAAGAGAGUUGCCAAAUAACCAAGUGAAAAGAAAAUCAGUUGCCAAAAACUUUCCAAUUGACUGUCUGAAUACACCUUAGUGAACUUCCAAAUCAUGAAUGUUCUCAUGUUUUUUCUUGGCAGCUUUAUUGUCGAUUUCUGAGGUACUUAUCUCAACUGUUUGUUCUGACGACUCGACUCGCAAUAUUUUGCUGCAGUUUCAACACAGAUGUUCUGGCUUAGCCUCUGCCUCUUUGUGAUGAUUUAACUUGCUGGAUUCUCAGAAAUCUAAUGGUCAACCUGAAAAGCAAAGUGAUCAUACCCAUUAGUGUAUGAAAUAUGAGCGAGUUCAGUUUUGUUUGACCCAUUUUCAACUCAUUUGCCGGCACCACUAAUAUCUUACGGGGAAGAGCCUUGCAUAUUCUUUGUUUAAUGGAAAAGUAUUUAGUUUUUAUGUCACGAUAAGCAAAUUAAUGAUCAAUGCAUAAUGGCAUAUUGAUUCUUGAAAGAAACAUCAAGUAAGUUGAAUAUUGGUCACUAAAACAAGACAAGCAAGGCAUCCUUGUUGUCUAUUGAGUAACUUUGUUCACCAAAAUUAAGCAUGUGAUUAUAUUGUGUGAUCUUA